Schistosoma curassoni is the source of this 46-nucleotide non-coding RNA. The record is from Rfam. Lineage: Eukaryota; Metazoa; Platyhelminthes; Trematoda; Strigeidida; Schistosomatidae.
GCAAUGCUGAGGAGUCCCAUACUAGGACGAAACGGCCGUCCACUGC